AUUGAACGCUGGCGGCAGGCCUAACACAUGCAAGUCGAACGAGUGGCGGACGGGUGAGUAAUGUCUGGGAAACUGCCCGAUGGAGGGGGAUAACUACUGGAAACGGUAGCUAAUACCGCAUACCAUCGGAUGUGCCCAGAUGGGAUUAGCUUGUAGGUGAGGUAACGGCUCACCUAGGCGACGAUCCCUAGCUGGUCUGAGAGGAUGACCAGACACACUGGAACGGAGAAACGGUGCAGACUCCUAUGGGAGGCAGUAGUGGGGAAUAUGGCGCAAGGGGCGCCAGCCUGAUGCAGCCAUGGCGCGUGUAUGAAGAAGGCCUGAGGGUUGUAAAGUACUUGCAGCGGGGAGGCGUUACCCGCUGAAGAAGCACCGUCUAAAGCCGUGCCAGCAGACGCGGGAAUUC
Molecule: ribosomal RNA, 406 nt
Filed under: uncultured bacterium
Lineage: Bacteria
Description: partial 16S ribosomal RNA
Rfam family: Bacterial small subunit ribosomal RNA
Source: RNAcentral